GAUGAACGCUGGCGGCGUGCCUAAUACAUGCAAGUCGAGCGAACAGAUAAGGAGCUUGCUCCUUUGACGUUAGCGGCGGACGGGUGAGUAACACGUGGGUAACCUACCUAUAAGACUGGGAUAACUUCGGGAAACCGGAGCUAAUACCGGAUAACAUUUGGAACCGCAUGGUUCUAAAGUGAAAGAUGGUUUUGCUAUCACUUAUAGAUGGACCCGCGCCGUAUUAGCUAGUUGGUAAGGCAACGGCUUACCAAGGCAACGAUACGUAGCCGACCUGAGAGGGUGAUCGGCCACACUGGAACUGAGACACGGUCCAGACUCCUACGGGAGGCAGCAGUAGGGAAUCUUCCGCAAUGGGCGAAAGCCUGACGGAGCAACGCCGCGUGAGUGAUGAAGGGUUUCGGCUCGUAAAACUCUGUUAUUAGGGAAGAACAAACGUGUAAGUAACUGUGCACGUCUUGACGGUACCUAAUCAGAAAGCCACGGCUAACUACGUG
Molecule: ribosomal RNA, 497 nt
Filed under: uncultured bacterium
Lineage: Bacteria
Description: partial 16S ribosomal RNA
Rfam family: Bacterial small subunit ribosomal RNA
Source: RNAcentral